RNAcentral lists this transfer RNA (71 nucleotides) under Candidatus Dormiibacterota bacterium. RNAcentral's name for it is "tRNA-Gln". It matches the Rfam family "tRNA". Rfam says of the family: Transfer RNA (tRNA) molecules are approximately 80 nucleotides in length. Their secondary structure includes four short double-helical elements and three loops (D, anti-codon, and T loops). The record is from RNAcentral. Lineage: Bacteria; Bacillati; Candidatus Dormiibacterota.
CGGCGAGGCCUGAUUCGGGUACAUGACUCUGGAUCAGGAGAUCGAAGGUUCGAAUCCUUCCUCGCCAGCCA